AGGGGGCGAGCCCCGGGGCGCCGCACGUGGACCCCCGGCACGGGCACGCUCACGUGCACCCGUCCUUUCACGCCAACGCGUUUCCUGCUGCCCCCACCCCUGCACCACUGCACGUCCCAGACCCCGGCCCAGCCUCCCCGCGGUCCCUAGGCUGGGGGAGCUCAGACAGGAGGCUAGGAGGAGGGGGACUUUGGGGCUGAGGCUUUGCCAAAGGAGCAGGAGUUUGCCAAGUGUUGUAGGAAGCGGGAAGGGUGCGCCAGGUAGGGGGCACGGCGUGUGCCAAGGCCCGGAAACGUGAAACCGAGUGCUUUUCGGGGGCAACCGGGAAGUCAGUUGGUGGAGAAAAAUCAAAGAUGGGAGGAAAGGCGAGGCUGACAAGGACCCUAAACGGUGAUUCCCCAAGUCGGCCACUGGAGGGAUGACUUGGGGGACCAGAGAGGAAGAGCAGGUGAGGGGGAGCGGCGGCCAGGACAUCUGGGAGGUGGCUAGACCCGUGGCCUGGACUUUGGGGGGCGGUCGAGUUGGAUCGAUGAUCGAUGGGGACCCUGGCGGCCUCACCCUGGGGGAGGUAGAGACGAAAAAGGAACUACGGUGUGCCCGGAAGGUGGUGGCUUUAGGUCCACAGGGAGGUGGUUGGCAAGGCGGGGGUAACAGGGGGAAGGAGAAAAUCUGAAAUGCCGGUGUGAGCUCCGGGCCAAGAGAGUUGAGGACUCAGGAGGCAGGAAUCCCCCGUGGCCGCCCGCUGCUUGGCUGUGGGCUCCAACUUGGUGUGUGCUCAGAGAAGGCAGUGGUUGGAGUGAACAGGGCCUGUGCCAGGUGGGGAGACUAGCCAAGGUGUUUGUGCAGCCUGGCCUCUGGAGCGGCCUGGGAAGAGCUGGAGUUCGCAGGGUGGGAGCUGCCCUGUGGCUGGGAGCCCGUGCUGGCGUCCCUGCCAGGCGGUGAUCUCACAGGUGAGCGGUGCUUGGGGAGACGCGGAGCUGUGGGCGGGCAGGAGAAGGUCAGUGGAGGUCAUGGCUUUUGGCUUGAGGCCGGAGUCCUCUGGGGGUGGCCGAAUGCGCCCUUGGAGCUGCCUUGGGAGGUGGCUAGGGUGGACAGCAGUGGAAGCCAGGCCCUUGGCUUAGAGCCACUGGGUUGGAGGGAUUGAGCCAGUGCCCGGGCACAGCCGCCCCCACAGGGCCUUGCCCCACCCGCCCUCCUCUCCCAGCACCAUGGGAAUGGGAGUUACCGGGCUGGAGGCUGGGGACGCCACCACCCCGUGGCCAAGGGCGUUGGGGCCCAACCCAGGAGCCUGGUGCAGCCCCACCCACGGGCCGCCCAGCCCUGGAAGGGCAGAGAACUGGCUGCCUCUGGGGUCACUUGGGACAGAGACAGGGUCUAGCUAUGUUGCCCCGGCUGGUAUCAAACUCCUGGACUCAAACGAAAGUGCUGGGAUUCCAGGCAUGAGCCAGCGCUCCCGGCCUGCAUACGGGAUGAUUCCAUGUGGACUGCCACAUCAAGGAAGCAAACAACAAGGAAAGCCUGGCGCUGCGU
This 1530-nucleotide long non-coding RNA is filed under the name Homo sapiens (human). RNAcentral's name for it is "HSALNT0395562". Lineage: Eukaryota; Metazoa; Chordata; Mammalia; Primates; Hominidae. The record is from RNAcentral.